GGUUAAGCGACUAAGCGUACACGGUGGAUGCCCUGGCAGUCAGAGGCGAUGAAGGACGUGCUAAUCUGCGAUAAGCGUCGGUAAGGUGAUAUGAACCGUUAUAACCGGCGAUUUCCGAAUGGGGAAACCCAGUGUGAUUCGUCACACUAUCAUUAACUGAAUCCAUAGGUUAAUGAGGCGAACCGGGGGAACUGAAACAUCUAAGUACCCCGAGGAAAAGAAAUCAACCGAGAUUCCCCCAGUAGCGGCGAGCGAACGGGGAGCAGCCCAGAGCCUGAAUCAGUGUGUGUGUUAGUGGAAGCGUCUGGAAAGGCGCGCGAUACAGGGUGACAGCCCCGUACACAAAAAUGCACAUGCUGUGAGCUCGAUGAGUAGGGCGGGACACGUGGUAUCCUGUCUGAAUAUGGGGGGACCAUCCUCCAAGGCUAAAUACUCCUGACUGACCGAUAGUGAACCAGUACCGUGAGGGAAAGGCGAAAAGAACCCCGGCGAGGGGAGUGAAAAAGAACCUGAAACCGUGUACGUACAAGCAGUGGGAGCACGCUUAGGCGUGUGACUGCGUACCUUUUGUAUAAUGGGUCAGCGACUUAUAUUCUGUAGCAAGGUUAACCGAAUAGGGGAGCCGAAGGGAAACCGAGUCUUAACUGGGCGUUAAGUUGCAGGGUAUAGACCC
RNAcentral lists this ribosomal RNA (673 nucleotides) under Escherichia coli. Its description in RNAcentral is "partial 23S ribosomal RNA". It matches the Rfam family "Bacterial large subunit ribosomal RNA", at positions 1 to 716 of the family's 2925-position model. The record is from RNAcentral. Lineage: Bacteria; Pseudomonadati; Pseudomonadota; Gammaproteobacteria; Enterobacterales; Enterobacteriaceae.